Molecule: ribosomal RNA, 751 nt
Filed under: uncultured euryarchaeote
Lineage: Archaea; Methanobacteriati; Methanobacteriota
Description: bacterial SSU rRNA
Rfam family: Archaeal small subunit ribosomal RNA
Source: RNAcentral
CGAUAAUCUGUCCUUAAGUCUAGGAUAACCUUGGGAAACUGAGGCUAACACUGGAUAGGAAAUUAUAUCUGGAAGGAUUUAUUUCUUAAAGGCAACGCUUAAGGAUGAGUCGGCGGCGGAUUAGGCUGUUGGCGAGGUAAUGGCUCACCAAACCGAAGAUCUGUAGGGGCUCUGAGAGGAGUAGCCCCGAGAAGGGCACUGAGAUACUGGCCCUAGCCCUACGGGGUGCAGCAGCCGCGAAACCUUUACAAUGCACGCAAGUGUGAUAAGGGAACCCAAAGUGCUUAGCUUUGCUAGGCUUUUGCCAAGUGUAAAUAGCUUGGAGAAUAAGUGGUGGGAAAGACUGGUGCCAGCCGCCGCGGUAACACCAGCGCCACGAGUGGGGAUCCUGUUUAUUUGGCCUAAAGCGUCCGUAGCUGGUUUGGUAAAUCUCUUGUGAAAUUGUUUCGCUUAACGGAACAGCGUGCAGGAGAGACUGCCUAACUAGGGACCGGGAGGAGUCAGAGGUAUGCUAGGGGGAGCGGUAAAAUGCUAUAAUCCUUGGUAGACCACCUGUGGCGAAGGCGUCUGACUAGAACGGGUCCGACAGUGAGGGACGAAAGCCAGGGGAGCAAACCGGAUUAGAUACCCGAGUAGUCCUGGCUGUAAACGCUGCGAGCUAGGUGUUGCAUAAUCUUCGUGAUUAUGCAGUGUCGAAGCGAAGGUGCUAAGCUCGCCGCCUGGGAAGUAUGGUCGCAAGACUGAAACUUAA